Molecule: ribosomal RNA, 913 nt
Filed under: Azotobacter vinelandii
Lineage: Bacteria; Pseudomonadati; Pseudomonadota; Gammaproteobacteria; Pseudomonadales; Pseudomonadaceae
Description: bacterial SSU rRNA
Rfam family: Bacterial small subunit ribosomal RNA
Source: RNAcentral
AGAGUUUGAUCCUGGCUCAGAUUGAACGCUGGCGGCAGGCCUAACACAUGCAAGUCGAGCGGCAGCGGGACCUUCGGGUUGCCGGCGAGCGGCGGACGGGUGAGUAAUGCCUAGGAAUCUGCCUGUUAGUGGGGGAUAACGCGGGGAAACUCGCGCUAAUACCGCAUACGUCCUACGGGAGAAAGUGGGGGACCUUCGGGCCUCACGCUAACAGAUGAGCCUAGGUCGGAUUAGCUAGUUGGUGGGGUAACGGCCCACCAAGGCGACGAUCCGUAACUGGUCUGAGAGGAUGAUCAGUCACACUGGAACUGAGACACGGUCCAGACUCCUACGGGAGGCAGCAGUGGGGAAUAUUGGACAAUGGGCGAAAGCCUGAUCCAGCCAUGCCGCGUGUGUGAAGAAGGUCUUCGGAUUGUAAAGCACUUUAAGCCGGGAGGAAGGGCUGUAGGCGAAUACCCUGCAGUCUUGACGUUACCGGCAGAAUAAGCACCGGCUAACUUCGUGCCAGCAGCCGCGGUAAUACGAAGGGUGCAAGCGUUAAUCGGAAUUACUGGGCGUAAAGCGCGCGUAGGUGGUUUGGUAAGUUGGAUGUGAAAGCCCCGGGCUCAACCUGGGAACUGCAUCCAAAACUGCCUGGCUAGAGUACGGUAGAGGGUGGUGGAAUUUCCUGUGUAGCGGUGAAAUGCGUAGAUAUAGGAAGGAACACCAGUGGCGAAGGCGACCACCUGGACUGAUACUGACACUGAGGUGCGAAAGCGUGGGGAGCAAACAGGAUUAGAUACCCUGGUAGUCCACGCCGUAAACGAUGUCGACUAGCCGUUGGGCUCCUUGAGAGCUUAGUGGCGCAGCUAACGCAUUAAGUCGACCGCCUGGAGAGUACGGCCGCAAGGUUAAAACUCAAAUGAAUUGACGG